CUGUAGCGUGCGUUAUCGACAAGCUAGCGCGUUACGCUCAAGUUGCUGCGAGUCGAGAGACAAGCCAAUUCCGAGACAAGAAGGAUGCCUGCUCACGCGACACCAUGAAUAAUCCACCACUGAUGUAAAGAAAGAUGGCACAGUCCUUGACUUCUUCAGUUCACGCGCAGCUAAGGCACCUUGCAGCCUUGACAGUACUUCAGCCUGCUUGAGUAGUACUACAAUUUGUGGUUGGUGGAUUUGUUGAGAUGUUUGGGCACGUGAGGCAAUGACUGUGCACAGUGAUCUGAUCUGCUCUGGAUAAUCUGAGAAGCAAGAGAAGAAGCUGAACACCUUCCACCAUCGAUGUCCUGGGCAUUUCCAACAGGCAGCAGUGGUUUGAGCACAUCACUAUGGGGAAGUGAGAAGAAGGUAGGAAGAUGAGGAAAAUGCAGCUGAGAAGGUGAAGAAAAGAAGGCUACAGUGGUUGGGACCUAGCACGAAUGCCAAACUAUAGGGUACCGAAAUUGAUCCUAUUUUGCUGGCUGUCUCAACCCCCAGAUGGGGUCCAAGGAAGAGAUGGAGAGAUGUGAUAAGAAGAGAUCUCAAGGACAUUCUCCAAUGGCAGCCAAGAAUAUGGUGUGUGAGGUGUGCUCCAGGAAUUUCAUGAUAAGGCAAGGCACAAGUGUGUGGAUGAGAGACAGAAGCCUGUAGUGACCAGCAAGGUGCAGUCUACUAGUAGAGUCAGCAGUGUCUCUUAUGGUUCCGGAGUAGAGGAGGGCUACAGUUCACAGAUGCUUACCAGAAACGUCACACCGUUUCUCAUCAUUGGACUUGUUGCCCCUUUGGGCAAGCGUGACCUUGCAAGGGUAGCUUUAAAACACAGGACAGGACAUGUGUGCAUUUGUAUGUUUGUUGUUUUUGUAUGUGUACAUGUGACACUGUGUUUGCUUGUGGUCGGCCACCUUUGUGGUAUACUCCUAAGCCUGUUUUGCAUAUGGCUAAGAGCUGAGCUACCAUUUCCAUUAUCUGUGGUUCCAAUGACCAGGUUGUAAUUUUGAGGUUUCUUUUAGUCUUGCAAGCCGAAGUGGCAGUAUUUUGAACAAGAGAGAAUGUAAGGA
Long non-coding RNA from Corticium candelabrum, 1100 nucleotides. RefSeq lists it as uncharacterized. Lineage: Eukaryota; Metazoa; Porifera; Homoscleromorpha; Homosclerophorida; Plakinidae. The transcript is spliced from 3 exons. The record is from RefSeq and is a predicted model, not a curated record.